Long non-coding RNA from Tribolium castaneum (red flour beetle), 1652 nucleotides. RefSeq lists it as uncharacterized. The record is from RefSeq and is a predicted model, not a curated record. Lineage: Eukaryota; Metazoa; Arthropoda; Insecta; Coleoptera; Tenebrionidae. The transcript has 9 exons.
GCAGUCCAAUAUUUUGUCUACACUUACACCACAAUUGUGUUGCUCUGCAACUUCAAUAUUAUUUUGCAAACAAUUUUUUUGAUUGCCUAGACAUUUUUCUUGUUACUCCAAACACAAUUGUGAGCACAAUGCUCAUACGGGUAUUCCGUAUUAGUCUUAGCAAGUAGAAGCUCUCCUGAAAGUGAAAAUGGAGUUUGUGGAAACUACGUUAAAAUCAUGGGGUUUUGAUUCCCUUGUGGAAGUUUUCCAAGCCAACGACGUCGAUUACGAAGUCUUUCUAAGUUUAAGCGAAGAAAUGAUAAACGAAUUAAUACCAAAAGUCAGGUUGCGAUAUAAAUUUAAACAAAGAUAUACGCAAUUCCAACAAGAAAAUUUAAUAUUAACGAUCGACACAUCAAAUGUGCAGUCGCUGAGUGAUACUGAAAUACAAUCGCCUAUUACAACAAUAAGCGAAAAUCCAAGAGAAUCAAGUAGUAAAUGAGAGAGUAAUUCUAACAACACAGUACUAAUUCAGUACUAUCCAACCCUAUCAAACCUUGGGUUGGGUUUACAAACUCAAUACAAACUGUACGAAACUAUAAAAAAGGAUACUCGAGGUCGCGAAAUCAUUCAAGGAUAUACAUCUUUGAAGCGAUUUUCGCGAACAACUCUAAGGGACAUAAUAAUAGAUGCGGAGUUAAGCAAAAAUCCAGAUGACAGGAUUUCUACAGCUCGUUUUAAAGAAUUAGCCCAACAAGUAGCCCUUACUUUUCCAGGGGGAUUUGCCGAAUCGUAUUAUAUUCCUUAUUGUAAGCAAGGGGACAAAAUUUGCUCAGCGAAAGGAAUACUGUGGGACAGAUAUGUAGCGAAGCGUCGCAAUUAUCGAAAAAUUGGGUUAAUUUCGAAAAAAGAAAAAAACAAUGUGGAAGCUACAAUAACCUCUCAUAGUGAAUCAGCAUCAGCCUCAGCAGAUAGUGAAUUGAUAGAAGACUAUCUUCAAUGGCUAAGAAACAAUAUAAUGCCGUGGUCAACAGUAAUGGACUACUGGAAAAAUUCUACAAAUGCAAGGAAAAAUUUUCAUAACAUUGCCGAAUAUUUCGCUGAGUUUCCUGCCCUUAGACAGCCUUCAGGUUACACACUACUAGAGUUAGACUUUGAUAAAGAAUACUCUGAAUAUUCUAAUAAAUUAAUGAAUACAUGGCAAAUGACUGCUGACAAGAGAAAACGAAAACACAACUGCGAAGAAUUACAUUAAAAAAUUUAAUUAUCAAUCUUUUUCCGAAAAGCAAAAAGAGAUUUUGGGCUUUCUCAUUUUACCAUUAAUUAUACCUCCUUGUCCCGUGAAAUCGAAAAAACCAGGUGACAAAUACAGACCUUCAAAAAUUGAAAUUCAACAGUCUUUUUGUUGCCUAAUAGAGAGCAUCGACAAAUUGCAAGAGACGAUUGAAAACCGGAAAAACAAACUCAGCAGAUUCAAUGAGACGUUUCAACCCAUGGUAAUUAUUGUUGGGGAAGUUGAAAACAUUAUUGCAUCUUACUUAAUAGUAAAUGAUGUACAUUAUAAAUUAGAAACUCCUUUGCGAGCAAUGGACGUUGGUUUUAAAUGUUUUCAUGCUCUUAAUGCGAAAUACCCAUGCGAAUCGGCAUAUAUUUGGACGUUCCUACAAAAAUAC